AUUGAGCGCUGGCGGCAUGCCUUACACAUGCAAGUCGAACGGUAACAGGUCUUCGGAUGCUGACGAGUGGCGAACGGGUGAGUAAUACAUCGGAACGUGCCUAGUAGUGGGGGAUAACUACUCGAAAGAGUGGCUAAUACCGCAUGAGAUCUACGGAUGAAAGCAGGGGAUCGCAAGACCUUGUGCUACUAGAGCGGCCGAUGGCAGAUUAGGUAGUUGGUGGGAUAAAAGCUUACCAAGCCGACGAUCUGUAGCUGGUCUGAGAGGACGAUCAGCCACACUGGGACUGAGACACGGCCCAGACUCCUACGGGAGGCAGCAGUGGGGAAUUUUGGACAAUGGGCGCAAGCCUGAUCCAGCAAUGCCGCGUGCAGGAUGAAGGCCUUCGGGUUGUAAACUGCUUUUGUACGGAACGAAAAGCCCUGGGUUAAUACCCCGGGGUCAUGACGGUACCGUAAGAAUAAGCACCGGCUAACUACGUGCCAGCCGCCGCCGUAA
This 498-nucleotide ribosomal RNA is filed under the name uncultured bacterium. RNAcentral's name for it is "partial 16S ribosomal RNA". It matches the Rfam family "Bacterial small subunit ribosomal RNA", at positions 30 to 523 of the family's 1533-position model. The record is from RNAcentral.